GCGGCGGAUGGGGAGCAGGCGGGCACCCUGCGAAAAAGGCGAGAAUAAAGAAAAAGAAGAAGAUCGACCAGGGUCAUCAGCUGAAGGAACUACAUUUCCCCAUCAAGAAAGAAGCGUUCGCGGUGGAAAAGAAGGGGGGGUCUGAGAUCUCGCCUGGUGGCGGGUAAGCUUCCUGAGGAGCUAUCUGGGAGUAGCUCAUCUUCUCUUGCUCCUCCUCCCGCGA
This 223-nucleotide long non-coding RNA is filed under the name Eucalyptus grandis. RNAcentral's name for it is "long non-coding RNA (EGRA_LNC004340)". Lineage: Eukaryota; Viridiplantae; Streptophyta; Magnoliopsida; Myrtales; Myrtaceae. The record is from RNAcentral.